This 253-nucleotide ribosomal RNA is filed under the name uncultured bacterium. RNAcentral describes it as "partial 16S ribosomal RNA". It matches the Rfam family "Bacterial small subunit ribosomal RNA", at positions 524 to 776 of the family's 1533-position model. The record is from RNAcentral.
UACGGAGGGUGCAAGCGUUAAUCGGAUUUAUUGGGCGUAAAGGGCGCGUAGGCUGGCGAAUAAGUCAGAUGUGAAAUCCUGAGGCUUAACCUCAGAGCUGCAUUUGAAACUAUUUGUCUAGAGGGUAGGCGGAGAAAACGGAAUUCCACAAGUAGCGGUGAAAUGCGUAGAUAUGUGGAAGAACACCGGUGGCGAAGGCGGUUUUCUAGCUUACUCCUGACGCUGAGGCGCGAAAGUUAGGGGAUCAAACAGG